RNAcentral lists this ribosomal RNA (253 nucleotides) under uncultured bacterium. RNAcentral's name for it is "partial 16S ribosomal RNA". It matches the Rfam family "Bacterial small subunit ribosomal RNA", at positions 524 to 776 of the family's 1533-position model. The record is from RNAcentral.
UACGAAGGGUGCAAGCGUUACUCGGAAUUACUGGGCGUAAAGCGUGCGUAGGCGGUUUGUUAAGUCUGUCGUGAAAGCCCUGGGCUCAACCUGGGAAUUGCGAUGGAUACUGGCAAGCUAGAGUACGGUAGAGGAUGGUGGAAUUCCCGGUGUAGCGGUGAAAUGCGUAGAUAUCUGGAGGAACACCGGUGGCGAAGGCGGCAUCCUGGACCAAUUCUGACGCUGAGGAGCGAAAGCCAGGGGAGCAAACGGG